Molecule: ribosomal RNA, 54 nt
Filed under: Staphylococcus aureus
Lineage: Bacteria; Bacillati; Bacillota; Bacilli; Caryophanales; Staphylococcaceae
Source: RNAcentral
GCAAGGAGGUCACACCUGUUCCCAUGCCGAACACAGAAGUUAAGCUCCUUAGCG